Long non-coding RNA from Jaculus jaculus (lesser Egyptian jerboa), 864 nucleotides. RefSeq lists it as uncharacterized. Lineage: Eukaryota; Metazoa; Chordata; Mammalia; Rodentia; Dipodidae. The transcript is spliced from 2 exons. The record is from RefSeq and is a predicted model, not a curated record.
GGAAGAGGCAGAGUAAGAAUACACUGUUUUCUCAUGAAAGCUAAGCGAGAACGCCCGUGACAUCUGGACACAGGUACAGCCACGUAGACCAAGCUAGCCACUGCCUUUCUGGUUUGAAAUACCCUCUCCCCGCUUCCAGAGCGGCUGCAUUCCUGAAGGCUGUAAGAUCCCCAUAAGCAUAGCUGCGCACCUACAAUGAGCCUGCGGAGUGCGCUGUUGACCAGCCCCGCGGUAAGACUUCGCGGGGACGACCGGAGCAGGCCAGUGGAGUGGUGCGCUCCCCUAAUGACUGGCUACAGUGGGGAGACAGCGGGUACCCGGCGGACGGUGACAUCGUACAAGGCGCAAGGAUGAGCGGACUCCAGGCACUGCGGCAGCUUAACGCAAGACCACCUCUGCCGCGCGCAUUCCUCCGUGGGCCCGCGCCGCACUGAGCAGUCAUCUUCUAGAAUGUAGAAGAUAAUGCGUCUCGGCCAGAUCCUCAUCAUGCGAUGAUGUGCCCCAGCCAACAGCUCCUGCAGUCUCUCAGGACCCGAGGGGUGGCUUCAGCUCGAGGACAAGUUCACGCCCACUUUGGAAUGUACGGCAGGGGUGGCUGUGAUGGAACUUUUCUUCCCCAUGUGUCUUCUUUGAUGCUGAAUGAGGUAUGAAGGCCGAGUGAAGCCUUUCCCACACACUUGGCACUCGUAGGGCUUCUCGCCAGUGUGGACUUUCUGAUGUUCAAUAAGGCUUGUAAUCCUGGAGAAACUUCUCUCACAAUGAUUGCAUUGGUAAGACACGGGGGUUUCAAUAUUCUCCCACUGGCUCUCCACCCGACUCUGACUUUCCCAGUAAGGUUCUGGAACAUAAAAGUCUUUGUCUCCA